This 68-nucleotide transfer RNA is filed under the name Marmota monax (woodchuck). Its description in RNAcentral is "tRNA.Val". The stretch from base 5 to 65 matches the Rfam family "tRNA", at positions 6 to 65 of the family's 71-position model. Rfam says of the family: Transfer RNA (tRNA) molecules are approximately 80 nucleotides in length. Their secondary structure includes four short double-helical elements and three loops (D, anti-codon, and T loops). Further hydrogen bonds mediate the characteristic L-shaped molecular structure. tRNAs have two regions of fundamental functional importance: the anti-codon, which is responsible for specific mRNA codon recognition, and the 3' end, to which the tRNAs corresponding amino acid is attached (by aminoacyl-tRNA synthetases). tRNAs cope with the degeneracy of the genetic code in two manners: having more than one tRNA (with a specific anti-codon) for a particular amino acid; and 'wobble' base-pairing, i.e. permitting non-standard base-pairing at the 3rd anti-codon position. The record is from RNAcentral. Lineage: Eukaryota; Metazoa; Chordata; Mammalia; Rodentia; Sciuridae.
GGCCUGUGGCUCAGUGGUAGAGCAUUUGCCUCACAUGCGUGAGGCCCUGGGUUUGAUCCUCAGCACCA